This 508-nucleotide ribosomal RNA is filed under the name uncultured bacterium. Its description in RNAcentral is "partial 16S ribosomal RNA". It matches the Rfam family "Bacterial small subunit ribosomal RNA", at positions 29 to 523 of the family's 1533-position model. The record is from RNAcentral.
UACGAACGCUGGCGGCGCGCUUAACACAUGCAAGUCGAGCGAGAACCAGUCCUUCGGGGCUGGGGACAGCGGCGAACGGGUGAGUAACACGUGGGUAAUCUGCCCUCGGCACCGGAAUAGCCCGGGGAAACCCGGAUUAAUGCCGGAUGGCCUCUCUGCCCCUCGGGGCGGCGAGAAAAGGUAGCUUCGGCCUCCGGCCGAGGAUGAGCCCGCGGCCGAUUAGCUUGUUGGUGAGGUAACGGCUCACCAAGGCGACGAUCGGUAGCUGGUCUGAGAGGACGAUCAGCCACACUGGGACUGAGACACGGCCCAGACUCCUACGGGAGGCAGCAGUGGGGAAUCUUGCGCAAUGGGCGAAAGCCUGACGCAGCGACGCCGCGUGCGGGAAGAAGGCCUUCGGGUUGUAAACCGCUUUCAGGAGGGACGAAGCCACUCGGGUUAAUAGCCCAGAGGGUGACGGUACCUCCAGAAGAAGCCCCGGCUAACUACGUGCCAGCCGCCGCAGUAA